CCUACGGGAGGCAGCAGUGGGGAAUAUUGCACAAUGGGGGAAACCCUGAUGCAGCGACGCCGCGUGAGUGAAGAAGUAUUUCGGUAUGUACAGCUCUAUCAGCAGGGAAGAAAAUGACGGUACCUGAUUAAGAAGCCCCGGCUCACUACGUGCCAGCAGCCGCGGUAAUACGUAGGGGGCAAGCGUUAUCCGGAUUUACUUGGUGUAAAGGGAGCGGAGACGGCAGCACAAGUCUGGAGCGAAAGGCCUGGGCUUAACCCCGGAACUGCUUUGGAAACUGUGCAGCUAGAGUGCAGGAGAGGUAAGUGGAAUUCCUAGUGUAGCGGUGAAAUGCGUAGAUAUUAGGAGGAACACCAGUGGCGAAGGCGGCUUACUGGACUGUAACUGACGUUGAGGCUCGAAAGCGUGGGGAGCAAACAGGAUUAGAUACCCGAGUAGUC
This 440-nucleotide ribosomal RNA is filed under the name uncultured bacterium. RNAcentral's name for it is "partial 16S ribosomal RNA". It matches the Rfam family "Bacterial small subunit ribosomal RNA", at positions 338 to 795 of the family's 1533-position model. The record is from RNAcentral.